RNAcentral lists this ribosomal RNA (253 nucleotides) under uncultured bacterium. RNAcentral's name for it is "partial 16S ribosomal RNA". It matches the Rfam family "Bacterial small subunit ribosomal RNA", at positions 524 to 776 of the family's 1533-position model. The record is from RNAcentral.
UACGUAGGGUGCAAGCGUUGUCCGGAAUUAUUGGGCGUAAAGAGCUCGUAGGCGGUCUGUUACGUCUGCUGUGAAAACCCGGGGCUUAACCCUGGGCUUGCAGUGGAUACGGGCAGACUAGAGGCAGGUAGGGGAGAAUGGAAUUCCCGGUGUAGCGGUGAAAUGCGCAGAUAUCGGGAGGAACACCGGUGGCGAAGGCGGUUCUCUGGGCCUGACCUGACGCUGAGGAGCGAAAGCGUGGGGAGCGAACAGG